Molecule: ribosomal RNA, 1342 nt
Filed under: Propionibacteriaceae bacterium SH131
Lineage: Bacteria; Bacillati; Actinomycetota; Actinomycetes; Propionibacteriales; Propionibacteriaceae
Description: 16S ribosomal RNA
Rfam family: Bacterial small subunit ribosomal RNA
Source: RNAcentral
AGUGGCGAACGGGUGAGUAACGCGUGAGUAACCUGCCCUUCACUCUGGGAUAACAGUUGGAAACGGCUGCUAAUACCGGAUAUUCAGCUCCUGUCGCAUGGUGGGGGUUGGAAAGUUUUGGUGGUGGAGGAUGGGCUCGCGUCCUAUCAGCUUGUUGGUGGGGUGAUGGCCUACCAAGGCGUCGACGGGUAGCCGGCCUGAGAGGGCGACCGGCCACAUUGGGACUGAGAUACGGCCCAAACUCCUACGGGAGGCAGCAGUGGGGAAUAUUGCACAAUGGGCGGAACUUGAUGCAGCAACGCCGCGUGCGGGAUGACGGCCUUCGGGUUGUAAACGCUUUCAGCAGGGACGAAGCGUGAGUUACGGUACCUGCAGAAGAAGCACCGGCUAACUACGUGCCAGCAGCCGCGGUGAUACGUAGGGUGCGAGCGUUGUCCGGAUUUAUUGGGCGUAAAGAGCUUGUAGGCGGUUGGUUGCGUCGAAGUGCAACUCAGGGGCUAACUCUGAGCCUGCUUUCGAUACGUGCUGACUGGAGGAAGGUAGGGGGAGAAUGGGAAUCCCGUGGAGCGGUGGAAUGCGCAGAUAUCGGGAGGGACACCAGUGGCGAAGGCGUUCUCUGACCUUUCCUGACGCUGAGAACAAAACUUGGGAGCAAACAAGGCUUAUAUACCCUGGUAGUCAACGCUGUAAACGGUUGGGUACUAGGUGUGGGGGACAUUCCACGUUCUCUGUGCCGUACUAACGCAUUAAGUACCCCGCCUGGGGAGUACGGCCGCAAGGCUAAAACUCAAAGGAAUUGACGGGGCCCGCACAAGCGGCGGAGCAUGCGGAUUAAUUCGAUGCAACGCGAAGAACCUUACCUGGGUUUGACAUAUAUCGGAAACGUUCAGAGAUGGGCGCCCCGUAAGGUCGGUAUACAGGUGGUGCAUGGCUGUCGUCAGCUCGUGUCGUGAGAUGUUGGGUUAAGUCCCGCAACGAGCGCAACCCUCGUCCAAUGUUGCCAGCGGGUUAUGCCGGGGACUCAUUGGAGACCGCCGGGGUCAACUCGGAGGAAGGUGGGGAUGACGUCAAGUCAUCAUGCCCCUUAUGUCCAGGGCUUCACGCAUGCUACAAUGGCCGGUACAAAGAGUUGCGAGCCUGUGAGGGUGAGCGAAUCUCAAAAAGCCGGUCUCAGUUCGGAUUGGGGUCUGCAACUCGACCCCAUGAAGUCGGAGUCGCUAGUAAUCGCAGAUCAGCAACGCUGCGGUGAAUACGUUCCCGGGGCUUGUACACACCGCCCGUCAAGUCAUGAAAGUCGGUAACACCCGAACCGGUGGCCUAACCCGUUUGGGGGGGAGCUGUC